Molecule: ribosomal RNA, 395 nt
Filed under: uncultured Parabacteroides sp.
Lineage: Bacteria; Pseudomonadati; Bacteroidota; Bacteroidia; Bacteroidales; Tannerellaceae
Description: bacterial SSU rRNA
Rfam family: Bacterial small subunit ribosomal RNA
Source: RNAcentral
GGAGGAAUAUUGGUCAAUGGGCCGAGAGGCUGAACCAGCCAAGUCGCGUGAAGGAUGAAGGAUCUAUGGUUUGUAAACUUCUUUUAUACGGGAAUAAAGUGAGCCACGAGUGGCUUUUUGUAUGUACCGUAUGAAUAAGCAUCGGCUAACUCCGUGCCAGCAGCCGCGGUAAUACGGAGGAUGCGAGCGUUAUCCGGAUUUAUUGGGUUUAAAGGGUGCGUAGGUGGUUUCUUAAGUCAGCGGUGAAAGUUUGUGGCUUAACCAUAAAAUUGCCAUUGAUACUGGGAGACUUGAGUAUGUUUGAGGUAGGCGGAAUGCGUGGUGUAGCGGUGAAAUGCAUAGAUAUCACGCAGAACUCCGAUUGCGAAGGCAGCUUGCCAAGCCAUAACUGACAC